AAAUUGAAGAGUUUGAUCAUGGCUCAGAUUGAACGCUGGCGGCAGGCCUAACACAUGCAAGUCGAACGGUAACAGGAAGCAGCUUGCUGCUUCGCUGACGAGUGGCGGACGGGUGAGUAAUGUCUGGGAAACUGCCUGAUGGAGGGGGAUAACUACUGGAAACGGUAGCUAAUACCGCAUAACGUCGCAAGACCAAAGAGGGGGACCUUCGGGCCUCUUGCCAUCAGAUGUGCCCAGAUGGGAUUAGCUUGUUGGUGGGGUAACGGCUCACCAAGGCGACGAUCCCUAGCUGGUCUGAGAGGAUGACCAGCCACACUGGAACUGAGACACGGUCCAGACUCCUACGGGAGGCAGCAGUGGGGAAUAUUGCACAAUGGGCGCAAGCCUGAUGCAGCCAUGCCGCGUGUAUGAAGAAGGCCUUCGGGUUGUAAAGUACUUUCAGCGGGGAGGAAGGGAGUAAAGUUAAUACCUUUGCUCAUUGACGUUACCCGCAGAAGAAGCACCGGCUAACUCCGUGCCAGCAGCCGCGGUAAUACGGAGGGUGCAAGCGUUAAUCGGAAUUACUGGGCGUAAAGCGCACGCAGGCGGUUUGUUAAGUCAGAUGUGAAAUCCCCGGGCUCAACCUGGGAACUGCAUCUGAUACUGGCAAGCUUGAGUCUCGUAGAGGGGGGUAGAAUUCCAGGUGUAGCGGUGAAAUGCGUAGAGAUCUGGAGGAAUACCGGUGGCGAAGGCGGCCCCCUGGACGAAGACUGACGCUCAGGUGCGAAAGCGUGGGGAGCAAACAGGAUUAGAUACCCUGGUAGUCCACGCCGUAAACGAUGUCGACUUGGAGGUUGUGCCCUUGAGGCGUGGCUUCCGGAGCUAACGCGUUAAGUCGACCGCCUGGGGAGUACGGCCGCAAGGUUAAAACUCAAAUGAAUUGACGGGGGCCCGCACAAGCGGUGGAGCAUGUGGUUUAAUUCGAUGCAACGCGAAGAACCUUACCUGGUCUUGACAUCCACAGAACUUUCCAGAGAUGGAUUGGUGCCUUCGGGAACUGUGAGACAGGUGCUGCAUGGCUGUCGUCAGCUCGUGUUGUGAAAUGUUGGGUUAAGUCCCGCAACGAGCGCAACCCUUAUCCUUUGUUGCCAGCGGUCCGGCCGGGAACUCAAAGGAGACUGCCAGUGAUAAACUGGAGGAAGGUGGGGAUGACGUCAAGUCAUCAUGGCCCUUACGACCAGGGCUACACACGUGCUACAAUGGCGCAUACAAAGAGAAGCGACCUCGCGAGAGCAAGCGGACCUCAUAAAGUGCGUCGUAGUCCGGAUUGGAGUCUGCAACUCGACUCCAUGAAGUCGGAAUCGCUAGUAAUCGUGGAUCAGAAUGCCACGGUGAAUACGUUCCCGGGCCUUGUACACACCGCCCGUCACACCAUGGGAGUGGGUUGCAAAAGAAGUAGGUAGCUUAACCUUAGGGAGGGCGCUUACCACUUUGUGAUUCAUGACUGGGGUGAAGUCGUAACAAGGUAACCGUAGGGGAACCUGCGGUUGGAUCACCUCCUUACCUUAAAGAA
Molecule: ribosomal RNA, 1552 nt
Filed under: Escherichia coli
Lineage: Bacteria; Pseudomonadati; Pseudomonadota; Gammaproteobacteria; Enterobacterales; Enterobacteriaceae
Description: bacterial SSU rRNA
Rfam family: Bacterial small subunit ribosomal RNA
Source: RNAcentral